UGGGGAAUUUUGGACAAUGGGCGCAAGCCUGAUCCAGCCAUGCCGCGUGCGGGAAGAAGGCCUUCGGUUGUAAACCGCUUUUGUCAGGGAAGAAAUCUUCUGAGUUAAUACCUCGGGAGGAUGACGGUACCUGAAGAAUAAGCACCGGCUAACUACGUGCCAGCAGCCGCGGUAAUACGUAGGGUGCAAGCGUUAAUCGGAAUUACUGGGCGUAAAGCGUGCGCAGGCGGUUUUGUAAGACAGAGGUGAAAUCCCCGGGCUCAACCUGGGAACUGCCUUUGUGACUGCAAGGCUUGAGUGCGGCAGAGGGGGAUGGAAUUCCGCGUGUAGCAGUGAAAUGCGUAGAUAUGCGGAGGAACACCGAUGGCGAAGGCAAUCCCCUGGGCCUGCACUGACGCUCAUGCACGAAAGCGUGGGGAGCAAACAGGAUUAGAUACCCUGGUAGUCCACGCCCUAAACGAUGUCAACUGG
Molecule: ribosomal RNA, 471 nt
Filed under: uncultured bacterium
Lineage: Bacteria
Description: partial 16S ribosomal RNA
Rfam family: Bacterial small subunit ribosomal RNA
Source: RNAcentral